Molecule: ribosomal RNA, 253 nt
Filed under: uncultured bacterium
Lineage: Bacteria
Description: partial 16S ribosomal RNA
Rfam family: Bacterial small subunit ribosomal RNA
Source: RNAcentral
UACAGAGGGUGCAAGCGUUGUUCGGAAUUACUGGGCGUAAAGCGCGUGUAGGCGGUUUGGUAAGUCCUGUGUGAAAGCCCUGGGCUCAACCCAGGAAGUGCGCAGGAUACUGCCUGACUGGAGUGACGGAGAGGAUGGCGGAAUUCCCGGUGUAGAGGUGAAAUUCGUAGAUAUCGGGAGGAACACCUGUGGCGAAGGCGGCCAUCUGGACGUCAACUGACGCUGAGACGCGAAAGCAUGGGGAGCAAACAGG